Canis lupus familiaris (dog) is the source of this 463-nucleotide long non-coding RNA. RefSeq lists it as uncharacterized. Lineage: Eukaryota; Metazoa; Chordata; Mammalia; Carnivora; Canidae. The record is from RefSeq and is a predicted model, not a curated record. The transcript is spliced from 3 exons.
AGACACUGUAAGAACACUGCAGCCUGGGAAGAGGAUGUGGGUUCUCACCAAACACAAAAUCUGCAGGUGUCUCAAUCCUGAACUUCCCAGACUCCAGAACUGAUUGAUGGCAGGAGCUGGAGUAGCCAUCUUGGACUUGAAGAUGAAAAACAUGUAUUGAGGAUGGAGAACAACCACCAAACUUGAGUACCUGAAGGGUUCUUAAGAAGCCAGAAGCAGUUGCUAGUAGUGCCUCACCUAAAUCUCCUUGGCCAUGACCACCAUUUCACUGGACACCAGCCUAACCUCCCAACUACCUGCACUCAAAUCUCUUUGCUGGGUUUUCUGUGGCCACCAGUGCCCCAUCUACCUCUAUGCAAGUGCUGGGCAUUGACUUUCCCAGUCUUUAUGGGAACAGCCUUCCCUGGAUGACUGCCAGGAGCUGCAGAAAGUACUCCACUUCUCUUGUACCACAAGUGGGAAA